RNAcentral lists this ribosomal RNA (921 nucleotides) under Microbacterium sp. CB 286368. RNAcentral's name for it is "bacterial SSU rRNA". It matches the Rfam family "Bacterial small subunit ribosomal RNA", at positions 98 to 1032 of the family's 1533-position model. Lineage: Bacteria; Bacillati; Actinomycetota; Actinomycetes; Micrococcales; Microbacteriaceae. The record is from RNAcentral.
GCGAACGGGUGAGUAACACGUGAGCAACCUGCCCCUGACUCUGGGAUAAGCGCUGGAAACGGCGUCUAAUACUGGAUAUGUGACGUGACCGCAUGGUCUGCGUCUGGAAAGAAUUUCGGUUGGGGAUGGGCUCGCGGCCUAUCAGCUUGUUGGUGAGGUAAUGGCUCACCAAGGCGUCGACGGGUAGCCGGCCUGAGAGGGUGACCGGCCACACUGGGACUGAGACACGGCCCAGACUCCUACGGGAGGCAGCAGUGGGGAAUAUUGCACAAUGGGCGCAAGCCUGAUGCAGCAACGCCGCGUGAGGGACGACGGCCUUCGGGUUGUAAACCUCUUUUAGCAGGGAAGAAGCGAAAGUGACGGUACCUGCAGAAAAAGCGCCGGCUAACUACGUGCCAGCAGCCGCGGUAAUACGUAGGGCGCAAGCGUUAUCCGGAAUUAUUGGGCGUAAAGAGCUCGUAGGCGGUUUGUCGCGUCUGCUGUGAAAUCCGGAGGCUCAACCUCCGGCCUGCAGUGGGUACGGGCAGACUAGAGUGCGGUAGGGGAGAUUGGAAUUCCUGGUGUAGCGGUGGAAUGCGCAGAUAUCAGGAGGAACACCGAUGGCGAAGGCAGAUCUCUGGGCCGUAACUGACGCUGAGGAGCGAAAGGGUGGGGAGCAAACAGGCUUAGAUACCCUGGUAGUCCACCCCGUAAACGUUGGGAACUAGUUGUGGGGUCCAUUCCACGGAUUCCGUGACGCAGCUAACGCAUUAAGUUCCCCGCCUGGGGAGUACGGCCGCAAGGCUAAAACUCAAAGGAAUUGACGGGGACCCGCACAAGCGGCGGAGCAUGCGGAUUAAUUCGAUGCAACGCGAAGAACCUUACCAAGGCUUGACAUAUACGAGAACGGGCCAGAAAUGGUCAACUCUUUGGACACUCGUA